AAGGGCACCACAAGAACGCGNGGAGCAUGUGGCUUAAUUUGACUCAACGCGGGAAAUCUUACCGGGUCCGGACGCACUGAGGAUUGACAGGUGAUAUAGAUCUUUUCACUUUGUGUGAUUUUUUCUAAAUAAAUAUGCUAGUCCUUUCAUGAUUAUGUGAUAGGUGGUGCAUGGCCGUUCUUAGUUCGUGGAGUGAUCUGUCUGCUUAAUUGCGUUUCACAAUGGACUUAGAAUUUUUAUGUGUGAUGCUCGGGCGUUGUCGGGUGUUUGCUUUUUUGCAUUUAUCCCUUCAUUUCUGCCCUUGUCUUUUUUUCACACGUCUAGUCCUGAAAGCAACGAACGUGACCGCAACCUCUUGUUGCCUUUUAACUUGAUUCCUGAUCUCUUUCUUUCUGACUGAGUUCAUUUGCGUUUCAUAACAUAAGAGUGCUUUCAUAAAACUAGAGGGACCGCUGCGACUUUUUUUUAAACCAGAGGAAGGUUGCGGCAAUAACAGGUCUGUGAUGCCCUUAGAUGUUCCGGGCUGCACACGUGCUACAAUGAUUAUUGCAGUGAGCAUCUCAUUCAUUUAUUAUCUGACUGCUGCUCUUUGAGUUUUGCAUCAGAUAAAAGCCUGCUUCGAAAGUUCGCAGGUAAUCAAUUGGAAGUAAUGAUUUCCCUUUUUUUUUAUUAUUAUGCACUUUCUUUUUGAUUUGUGUAUAGUAUGAGCACACAAUAUGCGGCUCCCCUCCCUGGUCUUUGAUUGCGAUUUUACCGUCUCUCUUGGCCAUUGUGUGUGGGGAUGGCCUGUAAUUAUGCAGGCACUUUUACCUUUCCGCAUGUGCUUUUUGUCAAUUCAUGGUGGGGACAGACCAUUGUUUAUAUUCUUUUUCUUUUAUUUGUAAUUGUUGGUCUCGGUCUCAACUAGGAAUGCCUUGUACGGGUCUUUGGUUCAACAAACCACCCGGAAUACGUCCCUGCCCUUUGUACACACCGCCCGUCGCUCUUACCGAUGGACUUCUCUGUGAGUUUGAGGGACUGGAUAGUGCGAUUUGAUCUCACAACAUCUACGGAAACUUAAACGAACAGUGUGGUCUAAAGGAAAGAGAAGUCGUAACAAGGCAUCGGUAGGUGAACCUGCAGAAGGAUCA
This 1130-nucleotide ribosomal RNA is filed under the name Marsipella sp. 4096. RNAcentral's name for it is "bacterial SSU rRNA". It matches the Rfam family "Eukaryotic small subunit ribosomal RNA", at positions 1160 to 1828 of the family's 1831-position model. The record is from RNAcentral. Lineage: Eukaryota; Foraminifera; Astrorhizida; Rhabdamminidae.